UGAGGAAUAUUGGUCAAUGGGCGAGAGCCUGAACCAGCCAAGUCGCGUGAAGGAUGACUGUCUUAUGGAUUGUAAACUUCUUUUAUACGGGAAUAACAAGAGUCACGUGUGACUCCCUGCAUGUACCGUAUGAAUAAGCAUCGGCUAACUCCGUGCCAGCAGCCGCGGUAAUACGGAGGAUGCGAGCGUUAUCCGGAUUUAUUGGGUUUAAAGGGUGCGUAGGCGGUUUGUUAAGUCAGCGGUGAAAUCUAGAGGCUCAACCUCGAAACUGCCGUUGAAACUGGCGAACUUGAGUGUAGAUGAGGUAGGCGGAAUUCGUGGUGUAGCGGUGAAAUGCAUAGAUAUCACGAGGAACUCCGAUUGCGAAGGCAGCUUACUAAGGUACAACUGACGCUGAAGCACGAAAGCGUGGGUAUCAAACA
This 422-nucleotide ribosomal RNA is filed under the name uncultured Porphyromonas sp. RNAcentral's name for it is "bacterial SSU rRNA". It matches the Rfam family "Bacterial small subunit ribosomal RNA", at positions 355 to 774 of the family's 1533-position model. The record is from RNAcentral. Lineage: Bacteria; Pseudomonadati; Bacteroidota; Bacteroidia; Bacteroidales; Porphyromonadaceae.